GCCUUUUAGGUUGGUUGGUGUGUGUGAUGCUGGGGACCUGAACUGGUAGUAGCCAAGUGAUGGGGUGACGCAGGAAGGUAGCCGUGCCACGUGAUGGAUAUCGUGGUGUAAGCGUGUGGCCCGUGUUCUAGGUAAAUCCGGAGCACAUAUAGGGUGAGGCGUGAUGCGUACCCGUUUUGGGGAAGUUGGUGAUCCUAUGCUGCCGAGAAAAGCCUCUAGCGAUGUGGAUAUACGGCCCGUACCCGAAACCGACACAGGUAGUCAGGUAGAGAAUACUAAGGCGAUCGGGAGAACUGUGGUUAAGGAACUCGGCAAAAUGCCCCCGUAACUUCGGGAGAAGGGGGGCCAUGACUGGUGACCGACGUGGUUGAGCUGGUUGUGGCCGCAGAGAAUAGAGGGAAGCGACUGUUUACUAAAAACACAGGUCCGUGCGAAGACGGGUAAGUCGAUGUAUACGGACUGACGCCUGCCCGGUGCUGGAAGGUUAAGAGGACCUGUUAGACCCCUUUUGCGGGUCGAAGCGGAGAAUUUAAGCCCCAGUAAACGGCGGUGGUAACUAUAACCAUCCUAAGGUAGCGAAAUUCCUUGUCGGGUAAGUUCCGACCUGCACGAAUGGCGUAACGACUUCCCUGCUGUCUCAACCACAGACCCGGCGAAAUUGCAGUACGAGUAAAGAUGCUCGUUACGCGCGGCAGGACGAAAAGACCCCGGGACCUUCACUAUAGCUUGGUAUUGGUGUUCGGUUCGGUUUGUGUAGGAUAGGUGGGAGACUGUGAUGCCUCAACGCCAGUUGGGGUGGAGUCGUUGUUGAAAUACCACUCUGAUCGUAUUGGACAUCUCAACCUCGGCCCGUGAUCCGGGUUAGGGACAGUGCCUGGUGGGUAGUUUAACUGGGGCGGUUGCCUCCCAAAGAGUAACGGAGGCGCCCAAAGGUUCCCUCAGCCUGGUUGGCAAUCAGGUGUUGAGUGUAAGUGCACAAGGGAGCUUGACUGUGAGACUGACAGGUCGAGCAGGUAGGAAACUAGGGACUAGUGAUCCGGCACCGGCUUGUGGAAGCGGUGUCGCUCAACGGAUAAAAGGUACCCCGGGGAUAACAGGCUGAUCUUCCCCAAGAGUCCAUAUCGACGGGAUGGUUUGGCACCUCGAUGUCGGCUCGUCGCAUCCUGGGGCUGGAGGAGGUCCCAAGGGUUGGGCUGUUCGCCCAUUAAAGCGGCACGCGAGCUGGGUUUAGAACGUCGUGAGACAGUUCGGUCUCUAUCCGCCGCGCGCGUAGAAACUUGAGGAAGGCUGUCCCUAGUACGAGAGGACCGGGAUGGACGUACCUCUGGUGUGCCAGUUGUCCCGCCUGGGGCAUGGCUGGUUGGCUACGUACGGAAGGGAUAACCGCUGAAAGCAUCUAAGCGGGAAGCCUGUUCCAAGAUUAGGUUUCUUUUGAGGUCCCCUAUAGAUGAUGGGGUUGAUAGGCCGGAUCUGGAAGCAUCGUAAGGUGUGGAGGUGACCGGUACUAAUAGACCAAACAUUCAACACA
RNAcentral lists this ribosomal RNA (1528 nucleotides) under Corynebacterium sp. HMSC063F04. RNAcentral describes it as "bacterial LSU rRNA". It matches the Rfam family "Bacterial large subunit ribosomal RNA", at positions 1420 to 2925 of the family's 2925-position model. The record is from RNAcentral. Lineage: Bacteria; Bacillati; Actinomycetota; Actinomycetes; Mycobacteriales; Corynebacteriaceae.